GAUGAACGCUGGCGGCGUGCUUAACACAUGCAAGUCGAACGAUGAAAGCGGGAGCUUGCUCCUGCUGGAUUAGUGGCGAACGGGUGAGUAACACGUGAGUAACCUGCCCUUGACUCUGGGAUAAGCGUUGGAAUCGACGUCUAAUACCGGAUACGACCUUCGGAGGCAUCUCCUGGGGUGGAAAGAAUUUCGGUCAAGGAUGGACUCGCGGCCUAUCAGCUAGUUGGUGAGGUAAUGGCUCACCAAGGCGACGACGGGUAGCCGGCCUGAGAGGGUGACCGGCCACACUGGGACUGAGACACGGCCCAGACUCCUACGGGAGGCAGCAGUGGGGAAUAUUGCACAAUGGGCGCAAGCCUGAUGCAGCAACGCCGCGUCGAGGGACGACGGCCUUCGGGUUGGUAAACC
RNAcentral lists this ribosomal RNA (408 nucleotides) under uncultured bacterium. RNAcentral describes it as "bacterial SSU rRNA". It matches the Rfam family "Bacterial small subunit ribosomal RNA", at positions 28 to 431 of the family's 1533-position model. The record is from RNAcentral.